This 682-nucleotide long non-coding RNA is filed under the name Capsicum annuum. Its description in RNAcentral is "long non-coding RNA (CANN_LNC014478)". The record is from RNAcentral. Lineage: Eukaryota; Viridiplantae; Streptophyta; Magnoliopsida; Solanales; Solanaceae.
UUAGUUUAACUUUUCUAUUAAUGAAGCUUUGUGUUUUCUUUUAAGAUCUUGGAUUAAAUCUUGUAUUUUAAGGGUUUUGGAUUAAGCUCUUGUUAUCUGUGAAUUCGGAUUGUCUUUAGAGUGUUAUCUUACAACACGUUGGAGUUGUUCCUUCAACAAAUUGUGUGGUUUACUUUAUUUUGCACAUUAGCGAGUUCCUCCAAACAUUGUGCUACAUCAAUAUGUGUACCCAAAGUAUGAUGGAGGGUAUAUCCAUGUCAUUUGUCAUAGUUCAGGGUAUAUUUGUCCCUUUUCUGAUGAUAAUAUAUGCAUUAUUUUAUGUUAAUAGAGAAAGUCAAUUAUUUACGUGAAAUAAAUCUUAUUCUGAAUAUGUUAUUUCUUUUCAACUUUUUGGCUAUAGUACUGUUAGUUUUUUUUUUUUUUUUGGGAUUCUUCUUCAAUAAAUUCUUAAUUUAAUAGUGUUUACUUAAAGUGAUGAUUAUUUUGUAUUACAAUUUUUAGUUUAAAUUAUAAAUACAAAAAUUAUAUGAAUUUAAAAUAAUUUUUUCUACCAUUGAAGUAGUAAUAAGGUAUGCGUAUAUUCUACUCUCUCUCUAAACUCCAUUUUGUGAUUAUAUUGGGUAUAUUUUUUUUUUGUGGUUGUAUAUAAAUUUAAAAUAAUUUAUAUGGAUUAGAAUGUCGA